This is a long non-coding RNA of Chinchilla lanigera (long-tailed chinchilla), 1704 nucleotides long. The record is from Ensembl. NCBI's taxonomy places the organism in Eukaryota, Metazoa, Chordata, Mammalia, Rodentia, Chinchillidae.
AUGCCGCCCUAUGGGGAGAGGCCAACAGCCAUUGCCCUGCUCAGAGCAGGGACCGGACACAGCGGGCCUGAGGCUUUAGCAGCUUCUCCAGCCCCGUGGGUGGGAGACCCCCCUGGUUCUGUGUCCCUGGCUCAGGGCUGCUCGGACCUCCCUCUCCCGUGGCACUUUGACCAAACUGCCAGGCUUCUGCAGACCUGCGGGGCUUCUUGGCGGCCCUUCCACUUAAACGCCCCUCCCUGCCUGCGCUCAGCAGCCCAGGACUCGGGGCUCCUGCUCCUGCUCCGGCCCUGCAGGCCAGCGCGACCCCGCCCAGCCCACACCGCUCAGCCUUGCUCCGGGAGUUGGAAGCCGAACCGAAGCCAUCUGGCCGGCCUCAAGCCUGCGUCCAGUCGCCUUAGCAGGACGAGGUCCUGGCCCGCUCACCCACACCCUCUCCUCGGCCUGGCCCGGGACGUCCACUCUGCUCUGCUCGCUGGCCCAACACCGCUGCUCAUCCCCGGUGGACAGUACGUUGACUGCCUUCCCUUUUUGACACCUUCCCACUCCGUCUCUGCAGACUGAGAGAGACUGCAGACUAACCUGCUGGCGUUGUAGGAGAGCCUUCCUUCUCCCCCGGAGACUCCACCUCGCCGGCCACGGGAGUCUCUAUCACGUCCUGGGUGUGUCCAACCCAUGUGCCUGCUCAGCCACAUCGAGGUGAGCCAAGCAGUGUUCUUGGAAGCCUGGAAACACUGAGACUUGGGAACGUGCCUUACUUUUCAUCCAGAGAUUUGCUGAUCGUAGCCACUGUUGGAAGUAUGAAGGCAGCUGUGAAAGAAGUGCUUUACGUCCUUGGUUCUGUCCAAAGCGAUAAACAGUCCUGGAAUCACAAAUGCCUCAGUGUCACUUUUCAUUUCCCAGCGACUUCCCUAUCUGGAGAGGAAGUCACCCAGGGAGACAGAGACCUCAGGGCCUUGUGUCACCCUGCGGCCCCCAGCUCGGGCAAGAGCUGACUGACAGCAGUGGGCACCUGUCGGAGGGUGCGUGGAAGCAUCCCCAGAGCCUUUCCUCCGGAAUUCUGAGUGCAGGGACAGCGUUGGGGCCCCGGGGGCUGCUCAGGUCAGCCACAGGGUCCCCUGGCGGAGAUCCUGGGUUCCUGCUGUCCCCCCCGCCCCCGCAUCCUUCUUCUGUGUCCUUUCAGUAAAAACCUCUUUUAUCUGACUUGGCGAGAGACUGUUUCACCCAAACCCAAGGAACAUUCGCUGGCACCAAGCGACGGCAGAGAACGGCAACGCAGCAGAGCGCCUGGCAGCCUUGGUGGGCAGGCGUGUGGGCUCAGGGUGACUCGGCUGUCAGCGGCAGUGCGGAGUGCUGUGCACGGGGGCUGGGAGAGGCACGAUGCGCCUGAAAGGGGAGGGGUGGGGUGCGUGAAGCGUCGCUACACUUCAUAGAAGAGACGCACAGAACAGAGACGCAGGGGUCUCCAGGGGAGAGCAACAGAAGACUAAAAUUAAAAGAGCUACAGCAAACACUACCUGUUUGACCCUGAGGCGGCCUUGCCUUCCCUGGCAACCCCAAAUGCAGUGUUCUCUCAGGAGAAAAACAGGGACUGCAUGCUAAUGAGCGUCCGACUUUCCAUCCUCAUGGUCACAGAAAGGAGAGCCGCUAACACUCUCAAUCGCCCGGGUCACCUUCUGGGCUGCUUGUUUGUUUUAAAUGCAGCAG